AGCAGCCGCGGUAAUUCCAGCUCCAAUAGCGUAUAUUAAAGUUGUUGCAGUUAAAAAGCUCGUAGUUGAAUUUCGGAACCGAUGGAUCGGUCACGCCAUUCGGUGUGUACUGGUUUAAUUGGUUCUCACCUUCUAAGGAACCGUGAUGUCAUUAAUUUGGUGUCGCGGGGAAUUAGGACUGUUACCUUGAAAAAAUUAGAGUGUUUAAAGCAAGCUCACGCUUGAAUACAUUAGCAUGGAAUAAUGAAAUAGGACAUUGUAUUCUAUUUUGUUGGUUUCUAGGAUCGAUGUAAUGAUUAAUAGGGAUAGUUGGGGGCAUUAGUAUUCAAUUGUCAGAGGUGAAAUUCUUGGAUUUAUUGAAGACUAACUACUGCGAAAGCAUUUGCCAAGGAUGUUUUCAUUAAUCAAGAACGAAAGUUAGGGAUCGAAGACGAUCAGAUACCGUCGUAG
RNAcentral lists this ribosomal RNA (450 nucleotides) under uncultured Glomeromycotina. Its description in RNAcentral is "SSU rRNA". It matches the Rfam family "Eukaryotic small subunit ribosomal RNA", at positions 569 to 1023 of the family's 1831-position model. Lineage: Eukaryota; Fungi; Glomeromycota. The record is from RNAcentral.